GUAGGUGGCAAGCGUUGUCCGGGAAUUAUUGGGCGUAAAGCGCGCGCAGGCGGUUCGUUUAAGUCUGAUGUGAAAGCCCACGGGCUCAACCGUGGAGGGUCAUUGGAAACUGGAGAACUUGAGUACAGAAGAGGAAGCGGAAUUCCACGUGUAGCGGUGAAAUGCGUAGAGAUGUGGAGGAACACCAGUGGCGAAGGCGGCUUUCUGGUCUGUAACUGACGCUGAGGCGCGAAAGCGUGGGGAGCAAACAGGAUUAGAUACCCUGGUAGUCCACGCCGUAAACGAUGAGUGCUAAGUGUUAGGGGGUUUCCGCCCCUUAGUGCUGCAGCUAACGCAUUAAGCACUCCGCCUGGGGAGUACGGCCGCAAGGCUG
Molecule: ribosomal RNA, 373 nt
Filed under: uncultured organism
Description: partial 16S ribosomal RNA
Rfam family: Bacterial small subunit ribosomal RNA
Source: RNAcentral